AAAUAUAAUUAGUCCCAAAGGGACUUAGAUGCAAUUUUCAGAAUCUGGAAAUUACCUUCUUGCCCUGCCCUAAGCCAUCAGAAACGAAGAAGCAGAAAUUCAUUUGGGUGAGAGUUCCCGCGCAAUAUGCUUGAGAAAGAAGACAUUGGGAAAGAGGGAAGGAGCCAUUGAUGAUGAAAUAUCCUCUCUAUUACCAUUAGUGAACUCCAAAGAGCUUCCAUGUGAAUCUCCACAAACUUUCAGGUUUAUCACUGUGGAAGAUGCAAAGAGUUUGGACACACUGCCAAGACAUGCAAGAACCCAAAUCCCAUCUGAGAACAUAAUGAAAUCAGCUAUUUUUU
Neltuma alba is the source of this 341-nucleotide long non-coding RNA. RefSeq lists it as uncharacterized. The record is from RefSeq and is a predicted model, not a curated record. NCBI's taxonomy places the organism in Eukaryota, Viridiplantae, Streptophyta, Magnoliopsida, Fabales, Fabaceae. The transcript has 3 exons.